AUUGAACGCUGGCGGCAUGCCUAACGACAUGCAAGUCGAACGGCAGCACGGGAGCUUGCUCCUGGUGGCGAGUGGCGGACGGGUGAGUAAUGCAUAGGAAUCUGCCCAGUANCGGGGGACAACUUGGGGAAACUCAAGCUAAUACCGCAUGCGCCCUACGGGGGAAAGCGGGGGGACCUUCGGGCCUCGCACUAUUGGAUGAGCCUAUGUCAGAUUAGCUUGUUGGUGGGGUAACGGCCUACCAAGGCGACGAUCUGUAGCUGGUCUGAGAGGACGAUCAGCCACACUGGGACUGAGACACGGCCCAGACUCCUACGGGAGGCAGCAGUGGGGAAUAUUGCACAAUGGGCGAAAGCCUGAUGCAGUAAUGCCGCGUGUGUGAAGAAGGCCUGCGGGUUGUAAAGCACUUUCAGUAGGGAGGAAACAGUAGCCGGUUAAUAUCCGGUUGCCUUGACGUUACCUACAGAAGAAGCACCGGCUAACUCUGUG
RNAcentral lists this ribosomal RNA (489 nucleotides) under uncultured bacterium. RNAcentral's name for it is "bacterial SSU rRNA". It matches the Rfam family "Bacterial small subunit ribosomal RNA", at positions 30 to 507 of the family's 1533-position model. The record is from RNAcentral.